AAAACAAAAGGAUGAAGAAAGCUGAGCUAGUGUUGAUCCCUUCAUCCGGCGUCGGCCACGUUGUAACGAUGGCGGAGAUGGCAAAGCUCCUGGUCCACUGUGACCACCGCCUCUCCAUCACCGUCCUCGUCAUGCAGCUCCCCUUCGACACGAAAGUCCCCGUCUACCUUCAUUCACUCUCUCUCCCCACUCAACCCGAACUUCAAAAUCAUUCAACUCCCAGAAGUCAAUCUUUCCCCUUCAAAAUAUCUUCUCGCAUAAGCUUCAUGGAUUCGUUCGUCAAAAGCCAUUAACACCUCGUCAAAGAAGCAGUCACUAAGCUAAUUCAGACGGAGUCAGUCUCUGGUGACUCACCUCGACUCGCCGGGUUCGUUCUCGAUAUGUUCUGUGCGGACAUGAUUGAAGUUGCGAAUGAUUUUGGAGUUCCUAGCUGCAUUUUCUACACCUCCAGUGCAGCUUUUCUUAGUAUGCAGUUACACUUGCAAGUUCUUUGUGAUGAGCAAAACCAGCCCAUCACUGAGUUGAAAGACUCGGUCACUGAGUAAUUUGUCCCGAGUCUCGUUUAGCCGUUGACUACUGCUAUGUUUCAACAAGCAAGGGGGUUUAGAGAAGAGAGGGCAUUAUUGUAAAUACAUUCAAGCAGUUGGAAUCCUAUGCGGUCGAGUCUAUCUCAGAUGGUAAGUUGAACAACACCCCACCUGUGUAUACACCGGGACCCAUUUUGAAUUUAGAGGGUGAUGAGAGUGAUCGAGGAUCAGGUGGAUCCAUCUCAAUAACAAAGAUCAAGGAGUGGCUUGAUGAUCAACCGCCAUCAUCGAUUGUGUUUCUUUGCCCCGGGAGCAUGGGAAGCUUCAGUGAGGACCAGGCGAAAGAUAUCGCUUGUGCGCUUGAACAUUGCGGCCAUCGGUUUUUGUGGUCCCUGUGUCAACCUCCACCGAAGGGUCAAGUUGGUAAUCCUACUGAUUAUGCUAAUCUGACGGACGUGCUACCUGAAGGGUUCAUUGAUCGGACGAAUAAGAGAAUAACAAAUGUUACAUGGAUUGCGGAACUCAGAAAGACCAUGUUUAUUGUAUAGCACAUCAUCAUCUAUAACCAAGUGGCAUGAUCGUAGAGUUGCCAGGUAUGCGGCAAACAGGUAGAAAGCUUGGAUCUUGAUUCAUCUUCCAUUUUAUCUGUCCGACUCAAUAUACAGAACUUUUCAGACAAGACCCAGUUCCUGAACACGCACAAGAACAGCAUCCGUGCGGUUGUCGGGAAUGCCGCGGCCGGCGCUGAGGCUGAACUGAUAGAAGCUUUGCCAAAGCUUGAGAUCGCGGCGAGUUUCAGCGUGGGGCUUGACAAAGUUGACUUGGGGAAGUGUAAAGAGAAGGGAAUAAGAGUCACAAACACUCCUGAUGUGUUGACUGAUGACGUGGCGGAUUUGGCAAUUGGGUUGACUUUGGUUGUGUUGAGGAGGUUGUGUGAGAGUGAUCGGUAUUUGAGGAGUGGCAAGUGGAAGAGAGGAGAUUAUAAGGUGCUUGCUCUUCUUGAGUAUCAUCUUCACUGCCCAUUUCAGGUGCCUGCUCUUCUUGACUUUCAUCUUCACUGCCCAUUUCAGGUGCCUGCUCUUCUUGACUUUCAUCUUCACUGCCUAUUUCAGGUGCCUUCUCUUCGUGACUAUCAUCUUUGGCGCUACCUAUUUUGGGUGCCUGCAAAAGCCAGAUAUUGGAAGCAUCAAAUGGGAAGAUAGUAAUAUUAAGCUUUUUGUGGCAUUACAUAAGAAGUAAAUGUAUGAAAAGAAGUUCCUUAUUGUGAAGAAUAAUAAGCAGAUCCUUUUCACUUAAAAUCUUUAAUCAAUUAUAAUUAAAAAAUAGAAGUACCUUUGCUUCCGCAUGCACACUUUUAUUAUCUUCAUCCCAUGAAAAUCUUGUACUUAUCUUUGGACAUCUUUGGACU
Long non-coding RNA from Pistacia vera, 1935 nucleotides. RefSeq lists it as uncharacterized. The record is from RefSeq and is a predicted model, not a curated record. The transcript has 3 exons. NCBI's taxonomy places the organism in Eukaryota, Viridiplantae, Streptophyta, Magnoliopsida, Sapindales, Anacardiaceae.